Xenia sp. Carnegie-2017 is the source of this 314-nucleotide long non-coding RNA. RefSeq lists it as uncharacterized. The record is from RefSeq and is a predicted model, not a curated record. NCBI's taxonomy places the organism in Eukaryota, Metazoa, Cnidaria, Anthozoa, Malacalcyonacea, Xeniidae. The transcript has 2 exons.
GACACCUUCCCUCCACAAGACAUGAGAUUCAACUUGCGAUUGUCCCAUUUACCUCCUAUAUUCUCCACCCUGGUUUCAUGAAUAUCAUUGAUAAUAAUGACUGAAAAAGAACGUUCUGCAGCCUUUGAAACACAACUGCUUACAGUCAAAUGGACAAGUCUAAAGAUAAAAGAAAGAGCAAGCAUGGUUAGCGUUUUAUUUUAUCGAAAAUUGUUAAUCUGGCUUAGGAUUUAACAUUUUUGACCAAAUGAGUUUAAACUUAAUGUGGACUAUAAUAACUUCUGCAUGCUUUAUAAAUUACAAAUAUCAGUCUU